This 896-nucleotide long non-coding RNA is filed under the name Gossypium barbadense (sea-island cotton). Its description in RNAcentral is "long non-coding RNA (GBAR_LNC022767)". Lineage: Eukaryota; Viridiplantae; Streptophyta; Magnoliopsida; Malvales; Malvaceae. The record is from RNAcentral.
AGAGACUUGAAGAAAUAUGGAAAUUGGAAAGGAAAUAAACAAUAGUUUAUUAUGUAAUAGCAAUUUUGCCCAGGCCCAAUGCCAAACAAAUAAAACCUAAACCAAAUAAAUAAAAUCAAAGCUCAAUUCAGACCCUACUAGCCCACAGCCCAAUACAACAUAAACAUUCAGCCAAAUCAAGGCGCCGCACGCCUCACCAGCCUCUUCGCUACCACCGCCACCGUCGCCAAUCGUUGGCCCUCCACUCGUGUCAGACACCUGCAGAGAGCAAUAAACACGCAAGCACAAGAAGACAACAGAAGCAUACAACAGAAAAAAACAAGAAAAUUGAAAAAAAAAUUGUAAAAUGGCUAUAAAAAGCCACAAUGAACAAUAGUUCUGGGCUUCUGGCAAUUUCACGAAUAUUAGAAGCAAUAAAAGGUGUUGAUUUAGAUUUUUUUUGUCUCUUUGUUUUCCAUUUUUAUUUAUUUAUUAUUUUUACAAUCUAUUUUAAUAAAAAGGUGCAUAGAAUAAAAAGAAAGAGGAGGGCGUACCUGUGGCCGGGAAUAGCACCACCGUCGGAAUCCCCCUCCGCUUGUCGGGGCCGCAGAAACCCAUUAGGAUUUUGCUUGGGCGGCGGCCGAAAUGACAGAGGCCGAAAGGCCCUUCCUUUUUUAUUUUUCCUUCAUUUUUUUGGUUUCAAAAUACCCAAAUCGGGUAUAUAUUUUAGAAAAAUGGAUUUUUUUAAAAAAAAUUGGGUUUGGGGCAUUUUUGGCUUUCCGGCACGGCGGCGAUACGGCGGAGAACCGCCGGGGCCUUCGUCGGACCUAGGCCGGAAAGGGAGAGAGGGGAGAGGGCUGCUGCAGUUUUUUUUCUCGUGUGUGGGGGAGAGAAAUGAAAAAAAAAUAAAAAAAAAG